UUUUAUGGAGAGUUUGAUCCUGGCUCAGGAUGAACGCUGGCGGCGUGCCUAAUACAUGCAAGUCGAGCGAACGGACGAGAAGCUUGCUUCUCUGAUGUUAGCGGCGGACGGGUGAGUAACACGUGGAUAACCUACCUAUAAGACUGGGAUAACUUCGGGAAACCGGAGCUAAUACCGGAUAAUAUUUUGAACCGCAUGGUUCAAAAGUGAAAGACGGUCUUGCUGUCACUUAUAGAUGGAUCCGCGCUGCAUUAGCUAGUUGGUAAGGUAACGGCUUACCAAGGCAACGAUGCAUAGCCGACCUGAGAGGGUGAUCGGCCACACUGGAACUGAGACACGGUCCAGACUCCUACGGGAGGCAGCAGUAGGGAAUCUUCCGCAAUGGGCGAAAGCCUGACGGAGCAACGCCGCGUGAGUGAUGAAGGUCUUCGGAUCGUAAAACUCUGUUAUUAGGGAAGAACAUAUGUGUAAGUAACUGUGCACAUCUUGACGGUACCUAAUCAGAAAGCCACGGCUAACUACGUGCCAGCAGCCGCGGUAAUACGUAGGUGGCAAGCGUUAUCCGGAAUUAUUGGGCGUAAAGCGCGCGUAGGCGGUUUUUUAAGUCUGAUGUGAAAGCCCACGGCUCAACCGUGGAGGGUCAUUGGAAACUGGAAAACUUGAGUGCAGAAGAGGAAAGUGGAAUUCCAUGUGUAGCGGUGAAAUGCGCAGAGAUAUGGAGGAACACCAGUGGCGAAGGCGACUUUCUGGUCUGUAACUGACGCUGAUGUGCGAAAGCGUGGGGAUCAAACAGGAUUAGAUACCCUGGUAGUCCACGCCGUAAACGAUGAGUGCUAAGUGUUAGGGGGUUUCCGCCCCUUAGUGCUGCAGCUAACGCAUUAAGCACUCCGCCUGGGGAGUACGACCGCAAGGUUGAAACUCAAAGGAAUUGACGGGGACCCGCACAAGCGGUGGAGCAUGUGGUUUAAUUCGAAGCAACGCGAAGAACCUUACCAAAUCUUGACAUCCUUUGACAACUCUAGAGAUAGAGCCUUCCCCUUCGGGGGACAAAGUGACAGGUGGUGCAUGGUUGUCGU
This 1076-nucleotide ribosomal RNA is filed under the name Staphylococcus aureus. RNAcentral describes it as "bacterial SSU rRNA". It matches the Rfam family "Bacterial small subunit ribosomal RNA", at positions 1 to 1055 of the family's 1533-position model. Lineage: Bacteria; Bacillati; Bacillota; Bacilli; Caryophanales; Staphylococcaceae. The record is from RNAcentral.